This is a transfer RNA of Brassica oleracea var. oleracea, 71 nucleotides long. It matches the Rfam family "tRNA". From Rfam's summary of the family: Transfer RNA (tRNA) molecules are approximately 80 nucleotides in length. Their secondary structure includes four short double-helical elements and three loops (D, anti-codon, and T loops). NCBI's taxonomy places the organism in Eukaryota, Viridiplantae, Streptophyta, Magnoliopsida, Brassicales, Brassicaceae. The record is from Rfam.
GUCGUUGUAGUAUAGUGGUAAGUAUUCCCGCCUGUCACCCGGGUGACCCGGGUUCGAUCCUGGCAACGGCG